CUUCAGUGGGGUUGGGGUGCAGGAGAGGGCUGUGGCCGGAGGUCCGGGAGGGGGCGUGGGCUUCCAGUAACAUUUUCCACAGCUCCCAGGAAAUAGCCACCAGAACCAGUGGAAAACCGUAUGGUGCCCUCACAGCUGCAGGCUCACCCCUCACCACUCCCAUUAGUUGCAUUUCCCAGUACUUGGGCUGAGACCAAAGCGUGGACCCUCUCAGUUUCUGGCCACCCUAAUGGCUGGGAGGUCACAGGAACCUGGCAGCCCUUUCUGGAAGCCUACAGAACCAGGGUUAACUGGAGGCAGGUAACCACCUGGAGACAGCCUGGAGUAGCGUUUGAUCUGGAUUAUGCUAAACAAUGAUAACAAGAUAACAGAAAACUAUUUAUCCAGUGACCAGUAUGUCUGCCUUCUACUACCCAUAGUACCCAGCUAGCCUGGGUCUCUCACAGUACACAGCUGCACCAGCUGCUCGUGCAGGGUGCACCACCCUGCCCGGGACAUGCUCCCGCACCCGCGGCCUGCUCCGGACCACCACCACGCGUCAGGAGUACUGGGACCAGAAUCUGGAGGCCCUGCACCGCACUGUCGAGGCCUGGAUGUGGGAAGACCUGCAGUUCCUCCGGAAGCAGCUGGCUGAGGACUGAGCCAGAAACGCUAACCUGCAGGCCCUGCUGCAGAGCAUGUUGCCCUGUGCCGGUCCUGUGCCUGCUGCCCCCCCAACAACUGUCCCUCCUACCACUCCUGCCCCCCCUCACCUCUUCCUCCUCAACUUCCACACCCUCCUCCUCAAUGUCCACACCCCACACCUCAACCUCUGCACCCUCCACCCCAUCCCCCUGGGGACGCUGAGGCCCCUUCCCUUGCCAUGCUGGGAGACGGUUGGCCCGGCGAGACCCCCACGCCAUAUUCCUGAGUUCCCCUCCCCCUUCUUCCUCUUGCUUUCCCCUUCCAGCUCCCUCCUCCCAG
Non-coding RNA from Pelodiscus sinensis (Chinese soft-shelled turtle), 963 nucleotides. Lineage: Eukaryota; Metazoa; Chordata; Testudines; Trionychidae. The record is from RefSeq and is a predicted model, not a curated record.